AGUGAACGCUGGCGGUAGGCCUAACACAUGCAAGUCGAACGGCAGCACAGUAAGAGCUUGCUCUUACGGGUGGCGAGUGGCGGACGGGUGAGGAAUACAUCGGAAUCUACUUUUUCGUGGGGGAUAACGUAGGGAAACUUACGCUAAUACCGCAUACGACCUACGGGUGAAAGCAGGGGAUCUACGGACCUUGCGCGAUUGAAUGAGCCGAUGUCGGAUUAGCUAGUUGGCGGGGUAAAGGCCCACCAAGGCGACGAUCCGUAGCUGGUCUGAGAGGAUGAUCAGCCACACUGGAACUGAGACACGGUCCAGACUCCUACGGGAGGCAGCAGUAGGGAAUAUUGGGCAAUGGGCGAAAGCCUGAUCCAGCAAUACCGCGUGAGUGAAGAAGGCCUUCGGGUUGUAAAGCCCUUUUGUUGGGAAAGAAAAACAGCAGGUUAAUACCCCGCUGUUCUGACGGUACCCAAAGAAUAAGCACCGGCUAACUUCGUG
This 492-nucleotide ribosomal RNA is filed under the name uncultured bacterium. RNAcentral's name for it is "partial 16S ribosomal RNA". It matches the Rfam family "Bacterial small subunit ribosomal RNA", at positions 29 to 507 of the family's 1533-position model. The record is from RNAcentral.